This 443-nucleotide ribosomal RNA is filed under the name uncultured bacterium. Its description in RNAcentral is "partial 16S ribosomal RNA". It matches the Rfam family "Bacterial small subunit ribosomal RNA", at positions 338 to 795 of the family's 1533-position model. The record is from RNAcentral.
CCUACGGGGUGCAGCAGUGGGGAAUAUUGGGCAAUGGGCGCAAGCCUGACCCAGCAACGCCGCGUGAAGGAAGAAGUCUUUCGGGUUGUAAACCUCUUUUCUCAGGGACGAAGGAAGUGACGGUACCUGAGGAAUAAGCCACGGCUAACUACGUGCCAGCAGCCGCGGUAAUACGUAGGUGGCAAGCGUUAUCCGGAUUUACUGGGUGUAAAGGGCGAGUAGGCGGGACUGCAAGUCAGAUGUGAAAAGCGCGGGCUCAACCUGUGGCCUGCUUUUGAAACUGUAGUUCUUGAGUGCUGGAGAGGCAGGCGGAAUGCCUAGUGUAGCGGUGAAAUGCGUAGAUAUUAGGAGGAACACCAGUGGCGAAGGCGGUCUGCUGGACAGCAACUGACGCUGAGGCGCGAAAGCGUGGGGAGCAAACAGGAUUAGAUACCCCAGUAGUC